CCUACGGGUGGCUGCAGUGAGGAAUAUUGGUCAAUGGGCGCGAGCCUGAACCAGCCAAGUCGCGUGAGGGAAGACGGUCCUAUGGAUUGUAAACCUCUUUUGUCGGGGAGCAAAAGACGCCACGCGUGGCGUUCCGAGAGUACCCGAAGAAAAAGCAUCGGCUAACUCCGUGCCAGCAGCCGCGGUAAUACGUAGGUGGCGAGCGUUGUCCGGAAUAACUGGGCGUAAAGGGAGCGUAGGUGGUUGAUUAAGUUAAAUGUGAAAGCCCAGGGCUCAACUCUGGAACUGCAUUUAAUACUGGUCGGCUAGAGUACAGGAGGGGUAAACGGAAUUUCUAGUGUAGCGGUGAAAUGCGUGGAUAUUAGGAAGAACACCGGAGGCGAAGGCGGUUUACUGGACUGCAACUGACACUGAGGCUCGAAAGCGUGGGGAGCAAACAGGAUUAGAUACCCCGGUAGUC
Molecule: ribosomal RNA, 460 nt
Filed under: uncultured bacterium
Lineage: Bacteria
Description: partial 16S ribosomal RNA
Rfam family: Bacterial small subunit ribosomal RNA
Source: RNAcentral